Poeciliopsis prolifica (blackstripe livebearer) is the source of this 714-nucleotide long non-coding RNA. RefSeq lists it as uncharacterized. The record is from RefSeq and is a predicted model, not a curated record. The transcript is spliced from 4 exons. NCBI's taxonomy places the organism in Eukaryota, Metazoa, Chordata, Actinopteri, Cyprinodontiformes, Poeciliidae.
AGUAAAUGGUAGGCUGCCCCAGUCAUUGUUGACUCAUGCUUGCUAAAAACUUUACCAGACUGACUGAUUUUAGUGACAUAGUGGGUGUAAAAUAUUGAAUAAAAUGUUGUGCUUCAUGACUGGCUUCAUUUAAUUUAACUUUAUGACACACAAAUUUAGUCCUUAUUGUCUCCAAGUGUAUUCUGGGUAAAGCUUGUCACCCGCCGUCCACCAAACGUCAUCAUCGGUCACUUGGCAACAGAUGGCAAACGAGCUAGCUAGAGCAUUUCUACAUACUAAGCUAACAUGAGUGAAGCUCCAUGGAGCGACGAGGAAAAACUAGACGAAUAUUUUGUUCCUGUCUUGAAGAUGAACCAGCGAUUAUUCACAAAAUUCCCUUGGGAGAGCUGCGCAGUGUGUUGCGUCCUCUGAGGAUUGGGAGCAGAUGUCCUGGAAUCUGGUUAAGAAACUCCUGAACUGCUUUGUGAAUGUGGAUCUCUUUUGCUUCCUGUUCCCAAGCCUGAUUUCGCCACCUGGGAGAGCGCUAGUUACCAGAAGCCUCAACCAACAUCUUGAUGAGACAUCUUAAAGGCCUUUUAAGGAUGUACAGGCAGACAGAAGAAGGUGAACGACUUAGACAAACCAAUAGGAACCCCUGAAGGAUUUUCAGUCAAAUAACUGCAUGGGAAUGCUUCGUACCCUUUGUUUCUGCUCCUCGGUGCGGACGUCGCUGCG